GACGAACGCUGGCGGCGUGCUUAACACAUGCAAGUCGAACGGAAAGGCCCUGCUUUUGUGGGGUGCUCGAGUGGCGAACGGGUGAGUAACACGUGAGUAACCUGCCCUUGACUUUGGGAUAACUUCAGGAAACUGGGGCUAAUACCGGAUAGGAGCUCCUGCUGCAUGGUGGGGGUUGGAAAGUUUCGGCGGUUGGGGAUGGACUCGCGGCUUAUCAGCUUGUUGGUGGGGUAGUGGCUUACCAAGGCUUUGACGGGUAGCCGGCCUGAGAGGGUGACCGGCCACAUUGGGACUGAGAUACGGCCGAGACUCCUACGGGAGGCAGCAGUGGGGAAUAUUGCACAAUGGGCGGAAGCCUGAUGCAGCAACGCCGCGUGCGGGAUGACGGCCUUCGGGUUGAAAACCGCUUUCGCCUGUGACGAAGCGUGAGUGACGGUAAUGGGUAAAGAAGCACCGGCUAACUACG
Molecule: ribosomal RNA, 466 nt
Filed under: uncultured bacterium
Lineage: Bacteria
Description: partial 16S ribosomal RNA
Rfam family: Bacterial small subunit ribosomal RNA
Source: RNAcentral